CCGGCUAAGCACCCUCCCGGUAGGGCUAGAGCGACAGCAAAGAAAUGGUCUUCUUAGGUUUGGCAAUUUUACUACCUCCUGUCGAAGAUCCGUCCAUCUACUUAUUGCCUCCGACCGCCUUCUUGUCGCCCCCUUUUUCUCUCCCCUCUUAGUGAACCCACUUUAUACGAUAUUUAUGACACAGAAUGUUGUUCUUUCAACAUGAUUCCUCAACAAUUUUGUCAUUCUAACUGACUCUCCGUUCUCUCCAUUCCAAUGCAUCCUUACGAAUACAAGAGUGGUUUUUUUGUUUUGGGUAUAGCAGGACUUGAACCUGCAACCAUUAGGUUAAAAGCCCAAUGCUCUACCAACUGAUCUAUACACCCGAUUUUACAAGAAGGCUGGGUGCGAAAAAGAAAAGAGGGCGGUCUGGCACCUUUUCUUCUUAUCAUAUCACAAGGGCGCGGCUCUGUAUGGUAUAGUACUGUGGAGCAAGUUUGGGAGUCCUUUCCACUCAUUGAGGAUUCUAUCUAAAAAAGAAGGUCAAUGGGGGAGACUACUUUGAAGUCCGGGCUGAACAAACUACUUCUCCUGCUACCAAAAUAGAGAAAUAAGGAAAUAAGAUGGAUUCGUCUAAUAAAAUACCCAAUGCCUGUAGUUGAAGAAUUGUUGGAUGAGUUAUCUUGUGCUGUUUGGUUUACUAAGCUGGAUCUGUGGGCUGGUUACCAUCAGAUAAGAUUACAUGAAGUAGACGAAUACAAAACGACAUUCAACACCCACGUCACUAUGAAUUUUAGGCCAUUUGGGCUCACAAAUGCACCACCCACCCUCCAGAGUGCUAUGAACACAAUUCUGGCUGAGCUGACUAGGGUUUGUGUACUUGUUUUUGUUGAUGACAUCUUAAUCUACAGCAAAUCCUUGCAAGAUCAUGUCACCCAUUUGCAGCAAGUAUUUGACCUUUUGAAGCAGAAUCAACUAUAUAUGAAGUUGAAUAAAUGUUCAUUUGCUCAACCACAGAUAGAAUACCUGGGUCAUGUCAUUAGUGGGAAAGGGGUGGCUACAGACUAAAAGAAGAUCCUCACAGUGAAAGAGUGGCCUACUUCCAAGUCAAGCACAUUAGAGUUUGGGCUUAGCAGGACAGGCGUUUCAUUCACAGGAGCUUAGCUCAUUUGACUGCUCAAAGACUUAAAACACCAAUGCAACACAAAGCUUUCCUUUCCUCAAGCUCAUGGGAUUACAAUAGAAUUACCAUCUAAAAUCUUCCACUGGAAGUUCUCUUUAAUAGAAUGACUGGCUUUACAUAUCUCCUUAUUAAUAGGAAAUGAAUCGGCAGCAACAUAGAACCCAUCCCAAGAACCCUCAAACCUCCCUGGAGAACACGGCUCCACAACGUAUUUGGUAGCGGAUCCAGUUUUCCUUAUUUGUUAACAUAUACCUUUCCUCUGCCUAUGAGCUAUCUAAAGGUCCAUCGUUAUCCUUUCCGGCAAUGGAGGCAGAAUCAAUGGUCAUGUCAGGUUUCAGAUUCAAAGAGAGAUGUCAAGCAAGCGCCGAAUCUGAGUACUCAACUUGCCCGACCCGCCUCUUCCACUAGACCUUGUCUUUCAAAGAGCAGCAGCCCUGCAAGCCUAAUAGAACCUUGUUUACCUAUUACUUACUUUUGCUUUGAGCGUCGCACUCCAGUGGCUUUCUUUCCUAUGGCUUGGAUGGGGGUCCUCAACAAGAUCUAUAUUAGUGUCAUUAUUUACUUAUUUAGACGAUAGAUGAUGAUAGAGAGCAGACUGGCUCUGAGGAAGAAUAUCUUAAGUAGUUGAAUCCGCUCCGCUAGGUUAAAUUGUAUGAUCUGAAUGUAGGAGGACUGCUGCUGGUGACACAAUUUCUUUUGGGUUUGAAGAAUGAACUCAGAGCUACAGUGGAAGUGCAGAUGCCUAACUCAAUUAGUGAAGCUGCAUCUUUUGCUCAAUCAAGUGCGGGAAGGAGUUUUGGAGAGAGGCAGGCACUACAUGAACAAGAAGGACAGUAACUAGAAUCAGAAGUCGGCUGCCCCGCAGCAGCAAGGCUAUGUCUCAGUCAAAGUUCGACAGGGGGCAAAACAGUUGCUGUCCUAAUAGAAGUUCAUGUCGAUCCAGCCAAGCCAGUGCCAUCAUUAGAAAGUCCGGCCAUUUUAGUUUCAGCCAGUUCAAGUUAGGGCAAGGAGGAAAGGAAGAGAGUAAUGCAAGGAUGUAAAGAAUGAGGUGCUAGAACAGACUGGCCCGCAGGCUUCCAACCUGACACCGCUUUGCUACUUUUCGAAAGAGGAAGAGAAGUUGCUUGUACGAGACUGCGCCUCCCGGCUGGAAACUCCAAUGGAAUUUUCGGUAAAUGAAAGCAAAGCGAAGCUUUACGACCAAGGAGAGAUAAGCAUAUUUUAUGAACGAUAGAAGGAGUGCUCCCCGAGCACAGGCUCGCUUGGAAGGAUAGAGCGCCGCAAGACAAGAUGGCAUAUUGAAGGGAAGGCUAUGAAAAUAAUUCUAGUCUCUCGAACGCCUGGCAUACUAAUACGAGCCGCAUACUUGAAUACUAGUGACAUAUUGGAGGAAAGGAGAUUAUUGGAAUACUAGAGGGAGUUACGCCCAUAAGAACUGCUGGCUGUAAACGCGACUUGCUCUGCUCCUCCUAAAACCAUUUUCGAUAGUAAGAUAGAUAUAGAUCUAGAGGGCCUAGAAGGGCAAGCAUGGACCGAAUAAUACACAUACUCUGUCUAGAUAGACGAUUUCUUCUUUCAUUUCCACUCAAAUAAAAGCACUUUCUUUCAAGCUUAUUUGCUUGAAAAAGAGCAAAGCAAUUCCAACAUAAACUAACACUUUAGGAUCCUCCAAGCCUUUCUAUAGACCCGUAAGGUACUAAAAACGAAAAACUAGCACUACUAACACAGGCUGAAGAGGAUGACCUCGAAAAAGAAUACAAUUAAAGAUGUGGCCUUCCCUUCAAGCACAUAUAUGGAUAUGGAGCACUCUUUUCCACCCUAAAAAAGAAUAGCCAGAGAUGGCUUUCUUUCCGUAUCAAUAGGUAGCCUUCCUUGCCUAUGGCUACUUUCAAAUGAAAAGGUCAAAAAAGAACUUGAUGUAAUAGGAUCACUUCAUUAAUGCUUUCAAACUCGAUUGUAAACUAUUCCCACCUAAAAGAUAAGCUUACUACUUCAAAUAGGUAGAUGGAAAGAAAGCCAUAUUUUCCACCUUAUUUACAUAUUCCAUUCCAGCCAUGGACAGCAACUCACUCUUUUCGAACUGCACUUUGAAAGCCAAACCCAAGAAAGACCAUAUCAACUACUCUCCAAAUAGCAGGAUAAAUCACAGAAUUCAAAUGAAAGACAGAAAGAGAAGGCAAUUCAAACCUAAUGGCCAAAUGAAUCCAAGACAGAAAUACUUAUAGCCAGAAAAGAAUAACAAGAGAACGAAAACAACUCCAUAUUCUACUGGCCUUCCUCUCUGAUCUACUAUCCAACUGUCAUGGAAGCACCACUGUUCACCCUAGGCUCACAUUUUGGCACUUCAUUCACUGUGUACUCAAAGGACUUGCUUGUCUUUUAACUCGGGCAAAAACUGCAGGAGUGAAUUGACUCGUAAUUAUACAAACAAAUGACCCAGCUGGCCUUCUCCUAUCCGCGGAAUCAUCGGGACAUGCUUCACUUAAAGUGAUUAUACCACAUAGUUUAGGGAAGCGAAGCCAUAGUUCGGGUUAGUUCACGCUAGAUUAUCGAAGCUUGUAACACCUGUUAGAACACAUUAGGAAAGCGCAAAAGAUUUCUAUUUGGAGUUCUUUCAUUUAGUUGCUCGAUCACUGCCAUCCGCAUUGGGCUAAUUCAAAUCCUAUGCUCCAUGCUCUUGCGGGUUUGCUCCAUUUGAACUUGUCCACACUGGCAUAAACAGUAUCUCCCCGGAACUAAGAGGCAUGUAUGCCCAUCUUUAUCGAUUCAAAGAAAUGAAUAAGUAUCAGCGAGGCAGGGAAUACGGGCCCGGUAGAGAUAGGGAUGAUCGGCAAGCGCUACGAGCGGGGCCGAUGUUUCGUGUUGUGGGUGGCCAUCGGAUUGUUCAGCGUGCCCAUGCGGAUCCCUACCAAUGUCCUAGACUACAAGUUCAACAAACUUCCGGCUUGGGUCAGGAUACAAAGUUACCCAGGAUGGGCUUGCCCUCUGGAUCACGCCGGGUCCUUGCUUGUUCCAAUGUCAUGCUAGGAAUGUAUCACGUGCCCAUGCAAACCAAAGGAAAGCAGAUACAACUAUUACAGAUCCUAGUCCUAUUUCCCAUCAGAACAUAAGGGAGUGGGCUUCCUUUGUAACAGCUCUGUUCUGGUCGUGGCUCACCUCACUGGACCAACGCUUCUGGUCGGAAGUUGGUCGAUCGCCUAGUCGGCAACCGGCACAACACGUUUGCCAGUGGGAUUUCUGUUGGUUUUCGUACUAUGCGCAAUGAAAGUUUCCAAAAAAAGGAGAUCUCUAAGAACAGCGUUCUACGGGGAGAAUGUGAUUUUUGUAUACUUUGACCCCAUACUGGCAUGAAACUGAUCGGAAAAAGGACCUCAAAUUAGGGCAUUAAAUAAUCUCUCUCUUCCAUCCCUGGGGUUUAUAGGAAUAUUCAGGCUGCACAUGACGAGUUAGGAACUGUAUAUUAUAGUCCAACAAAUUACUUUCUCCGUACUGAUAAUAAAGUUUACUAAAUCAAAUGUAAUAUCUUUUUAUCUAGAGGAGUUAAAUCGUAUAAAAAUCAAUUAUAAAUAAUCUUUUUACUGUAAUAUUAUUUCAAAGUAGGGGAGACAUCUGAACAUAUUUUAUAUAAGUGUAUUGUCAGCUCUGGUUUUUAUUGAGUCUUGGUCUAGAGGUUUAUGUGCUUUCUAAGGUUCUGGAUACAACAUAUUGAUGCAUAUCCAAUUGAAACAAUCAGUACUAAAAUAUGAUAUGCUUCCAUCAGUGCCUCAAAACAUUUGCUAUUCUUAUCUCUAGAAGGGUGCUUAUAUUGUUGUAGUGUUUAUAGCGAAAGAGGACAAAAGUCCAGCCGGACACAGUAUAACUCUGGUAUCGCGUCGCGGGUGAAAAGGGCCUGAAUAUUUCCUACCAGCAAGCACCGCCACUAACUCACACGUCAUUCUUGCAUCUCGCUGACACUGGGCCCGAGAAACGGCAGAAAGCCAAAGGUGUGAACCUUGUAAUCUUUUCUAUACAGAAAAACAGACCCUCUUCGAAGCUGAACGUUGUGGGGCACUGCUGUCAGCAGAACAUUUCCUAGUGUGUAAGCGAAUUUUAAUGUGAUAAAAAGGCAGCGAAGUGUUCCAGCGGCCAGCCAUGACGUUCGCCCCACCGUCCAGACAGAUAAACCCCUCACCAAGCAGCGGAGCUCAGCAUUUCCACCACACCGACGCCUCCGGUAUCCCCCGCGGUUCCCUUUCCCGAGAAGCAGCUGAUCUUGGCCGUUAGAUCGACGUAUAAAUAGCCACGGGCACGCAAGGCCGGACCUCUAUUUCUUCACCUGCCUCCCCUCCCACCUGGGCAUGGCGACCUUCUCCAUGGAGGUGUUCGACAACGAGGUCGUCCCGUCCAUGCUCAGCAGCAUCGCGCCCAUCCUGCGCGUCGCCGCCGAGAUCGAGCCCGAGCGCCCCCGAGUCGCUUACCUCUGUACGUGCAUUCGUUUUCGCGGGGAUACGUAUGGUGCAUUUCACAUGCUGUUUUGAUGCGUUUGGGUUUGGAUUUUGUGGCAGAGCGAGCACUCCUGGUUCAUUUUUUUGGCGUCGGAUCAAUGCCGCGUAGGCUAUGUGUAGUUGGAAAAUUUUUGUGUUCCCAUGUUCAAAAAUGUUUGUUCUUAUAUUUUUUUGGGGGGCACAUGCGCGCCUCGAUUCGUGGUUUUCGAGGAUGUUUUGCUUUUGAUUCAUAAUCAUACGAGUCUAUCUAGAAAAACAGAUAGUGUGAUUUACUAGAGAACUUUUCUGGCUUUGCCAUUUUUCCUAGCUUUGGAGAGCUAAUUUUGGAGUAUGUUCGUAAGCGUCCGCAUUAGAUUUUUCUUUCGGCGAUCAUCCAUACGUAUUACUUGUUCAUUUCGGAGCACCUUUGUGUUUCACACUUGAGGGAGCAGAUUAGAUGUACUAGAUAGUGGUAUUUCCGAUACUUUCUUCGUUUUGUUGAAAUCAUGUUGCAAUCAGAUAGUUAUGGUCAAUUGGUUUGGCUAGAAUAGUUUCACGUAUCUCGAAUAGGGACUCGGGUAAUUGGUUUCUAGUUCCUACUACAUCCUGCAAAGUAAAUGGAAGUUUCUAGCGUUUUGCUCGCUUUAUUUUUCUUUUUUUUGCUGCAAACAUAGGUCGGUUUUACGCAUUCGAGAAGGUGCACCGGCUAGAUCAGAAUUCUAUUGGUCGCGGAGUCAGGCAGUUUAAGACUGCUCUGCUCCAACGACUUGAGAAGGUGAGACACAACUUAUUUCGUCUUCCUGAUGAUUAGGACAAAAUUGUAUCCCUUAGGAACCGUACAUGCACCUUUGUUUGGAUGCCGAUCUAAUAUUGUUACAAUACGAAAUACUUGAAGGCCACACGCAAUUGACUCACCUACAUUUUAUGCUCCCACCCUUUUGUAGAAAAAGCCUCUGCCUCUGGGGAAGUGCUCACAUCAACUCCAAUUUGGAUGGAGCUUCUCGAUGGGUUAGAGCGUUUGCGAACCAAAAAGGCGGAAAACCCAUCCUCCAAAGUAGUGAAGUGAGCCAGUACAAUAAGACAAUAUGUCUCAUGGGCCAAGCCUGCUAUCAGGCAGUGAGUGGGAAUCAAUCCUGAAAGAGAGAAGGUCUAGUGCUCUUAGAAAAUAUUUAAUUCGCCAAAAACUUGGCUUUAUCAGACCAAUCCAUGUUCAGAAGCCUUCCAUCAAAAGUCAGUGGUCUAGGCCGCUUUCCUUGACUUUGAGUUGGAUCUCAUUCUUCUUCCCGGCACAAAAAGAGGGUAGACUUCAUCCGAGACACAUGGGUUCUUUUGCUUCCUUCAAAGAACUCGUCUUUGAGCCUCUAAAAAGAAGGGCAUAGUAUCCCAACCACCUAGACCACCUAAAAGGAAGGAAUUGGUCUUUAGCUUUGAGUGAUCCAACCAUUGGUGAAUGGGUUCAGUAAGGUAGAAGGAAAGGGCCCCUCCCGACCUGGGAAAUUCACAGCAGGAAAGACUGGCGCCGAUCAGCGAAAGAGAACCCUUCAGUACAUCGUGUUCAGCCCUCCCUCAAAAUCCCAUUUGUUUUAUUGAGGAAUCACUCUUGAUCCUCUAAAGGAUCUUCUCUGUCUAUAACUCAAAGUCCAUAUGUCUCUCAUGGAAGCGCUUUAGAGUGCCUAGACGAUCCAGCAAACGGGGGUGCCAAUGUUGUCCCAAGAACAGAUCACGGUAGGUAGCUGCUUUAAAGAGGUUGGGAGACAGACUGGUGAACAAUCUUCUUCUUGUUUUCUCCGACCUAGAGCAUUCCUUUUUUCAAUCGUACGAAGAAACUCGGUGAAAAACCCAGCUAUCACUCCUAUGAGACUGCUAACUCCCAACUCCCGAUACAUUCUUUAGAUUCGACCAAAGGACUCGUUGGUUUGGACAUAGUUUCUUUGUUCCUGUGUUUCUGUUUUGCUCUCCCCCUUUUUUCACUUAGUUUAUUUGGAAUGGAAAGACAACUUCCUUCAGUUUUUAUUUUUUUGUUGUUGCCUGGUUCGGUCUCUCCGAGUGGAAUAAGUGGGUCCUUCUUCUUUUUCCUGACUGAUGAAGGUCGAAACUGAAGAUCGAAUCAAGCAGAGUCUGGAUUCCUAUGUUCGUACCAACUCAAAUGAUUGAUGAAUUGGAUCUUGAGUAUGCUCACUUCGCUACUCAGCAAGGGUGAAAGAAUGACAAAGAGACUGACAUCACAGAAGAAGGGAAGGACCCAAUCGCCUACCUAUUUCUUGGUCCUCCCCCCUGGUGGGUACUUUAUAGCUCACAACACGAGAUAGGCAGAUAUGUGACAUAGAAAAAUUGCUUUCAUUGACAACAAGACUCUCUUCCUGAUUGGGAUUGGUCUGUGUAGGAUCUCCUUCCCUAUGAGACUCUUGCUUUCCUUUGAAAGAGGCAGACCCCUACUUCAAUUGCCAUCUGACGCCUCUACCCGCCCUUGGUGUUCGUAGAUCGGUUUUGCCAGUUAGGGUUUGUGUGGUGGGUUUCGGUUAUCUCGGGUAGCUCCUCACUUGGAUGAGGAGUGGGGAAAUAAGAUUGCAGGAGAGAUCGAUGAAGAAGUGGAACUAAAGGAUACUAUAACCAAAGCUUAAAAUGGGGGGGAUGAGGCUGAUGUUGAGCCGGGUGAUGAAGCAACUUCACCGCAGCAAGAAGCCUAGUGAGCGGUUGACAUGGCGGAAGGUCGUUCUACCUUUCCAUGUGCCAACAAAGCAGGCAUACUUGAUUGACUCUUUGGGGCUCAUGAGAGACAUUCAUAUUACUGCGUUCUGUGAUCGUAGAUCAUCAGGAUUCAUCAUUGUAUAUCCGAGAUCUGAAAGUGUGGCAAAUGGAUUUGAAGGCAUGGAAAGAGGCCGCCCUCGUGCAAGGCUUCUUUAUUCUCCCGAUUUCCCUCCUCCAGUUGGAUUGACACGAAAGUCUAGUGAUAAUGUCGAAGUGCUUUACAGAGUCCCUUUCAGCCCCCGCUUUAUCAUAGGAAGAAGAAGAGUAAUCUAGUUUAGCGGUAAGUGCCCUUUUGUUGCCAAUAUCUAGAGUCCUGUUGUGUCGAUAGAGCUCGGAAACGUCCUCUUUUAGUGAUGGAUUCUAGUAGCCCUAUGCCUAGAUUGCACAAGAACUACUCCGCUUCUAUAUUGGAAAACACUUUGUUUGAGCUUCUAAAAAGAAAUGAAGCUGUUACCUGAUCCAAGCAGAUAAGAUGCUCACGGUCUGUCCUGAGCACUACAGAGAUAUUUCUUGAUCCACAUGAGAGUCAGCUCCCUACACCUACACCGGAUUAUGUCAAUGAGAGCUUGCCAAUAGAGAUACUUCUGACUUAGAGGCACCAGAGUUGGCCAACUGAAAUUGCAUUGACAGCGAACCCUUGGUAGAUGAUUCAGAGCAAGAUCAUAUUCUUGAUGAUUUUUCCCUUUGUUUGAUCGAGCGAUGCCGAAUCUUUAUAGCGCAUUUCCACCUAUCCAUGCUUUACGACUUGUCGCCAUGAAGCACAUGCCUGCGAAACCUUCUUAUUCUACAGAAUAAAUAAUAAAGUACUUAGAAUGAAUGGACUAAAGAUCCACUUUUCAAAAGGGACGGCUCCGCCUACAUGAGAAGAUCUUUCAAGCGAAAAUAAUGGGUAGCCAUGAGAAAUCUCGAUCGGCGACUCUGAUACCAUGAUAUCAUUGGUCGAAGAAUUCCUUGCCUCGCGGGACACGUAAAGAGACCUACCCACCACCCUUGUGCGUGCGAACCUAACAAGAUAUGUUGAUGCCAGCUACACCGCGCUUUCUUUCCGAUCGACCUGACAUUCAGAGGAGAAGAAGGAAUGGUUGUAUGCAUGCGCCGGACGCCUAUCAAAAAGUAAAAGAAACCAUGGAUGGGGAGAAAGAAAUCCCUACUUACUUGACAGGUUUCCGGGUCUCAGAAACAUAGAAAGGAUUUCACAAAUAGGAUAAAUGUCCAGUGAGGACAUCUCCUUGCUUGCUUUUUCAUUGACUGAUUCUAGUGGCUGGCCCAGUGAGAGAAUUACCAGUGUCUGUCAUUAGACUUUAUCUUUCCACGGUGAACUCCUUUGUUGUUGAAAAUCGGCUGGCUGGAUUGACCUUUGGGAUUGAGUCACUCUUUUCUGCCGAUCAUCCUCAACCUCAAGCACAAAACCACCUGUCGGAAAAAAAAAGAAUCUCAGUCAACACUUAGCAUGUGAUGCAGCCUUUAAGUAUCCAAAGUUCUGGAACUUAGAUGAUGCCCUUAAAUGGUAUAACAAACACCAGACUAAAAUGUUUACUUCGGACGAAAGUUUAAUUGAAUUUGCUGCGCAAGCUAGUGAUCCAUUUUUUUUCAUAGCCAAGAUCCUUUCUCAGGAUGAAGGAGUGAGUAAUUAUCAUCAGGUUCCAGUGACCCAAGAUGCGAGUGCGAGUGCAUGUGAAAUUAUGAGUUAUCUCUUGCUUAACUUAGAAAUGGGUAGGAGAAUGAAUCUUCUUCCAUAUUAAGACGGUCAAAUCCAAGAUGUGUACAUGUGCUUGCGGGAUGAUCUUAAUAAAUUGUUUUUUACCAGAUUGAAUAAUGUUAGUAGUAGUAAUUAGAAGAAAAAACUCAUAGAUUCUAUGUUAACCAGAAAGUUCGUCAAAGGAUUCUUUAUGCCAUCUCCACAAGGGUCCGUCCGGUUCUUCCUCAAAUGGGUUACCUCAAUAUUUAUCAAAGUUUUGGUAUCUAACUUAUCCAGCUACAGUAUAGUAUACUCCUUCCUUGCUCGAUAGAGCUCUUUGAAUCCGCUUCAACUAAAUGCGUAAAAUAGAGUAAUUUCUUCAAAAGCCAGUUUAUUUUGAGAAGGCAGGAGGCCCAUAGUGAGUUACAAUAGUGCCAGUUCUUGUACGGAAGGCCGUAAUUCCGGUAACCUCGACUGCUCUAAGAAUGAUCCGGGCUAGCCGGGCACAUCACAACAAAGUUAGGUCAUUUGUCAAAAACAUGGCAAAUAGCUCAGUUGGUUUGGUAAGGGAGCUAUUCUCUCACUUAAACCACUCCCAUAUUAGGUAUUCUAUCUCGUCUUAAAGUUCCCCCGCAUUACCCAUAACUUACCACCUGUAUCUCCGGAACUCAAAUCGCAAAAUGACAAUGCUUUUGAUAGUCUGUAGGAUAUUUUGCACUUUCAUAUUCUAGUUCCUCAUUUGAGCGUUCUUUUGCUCUGUUGGUGGGGCAUAAACUCAGAAAUAGUUUUUGUUUUUUCUUUAAAUAAUAGAAGUACUUUGUGUAGAAACCAUUUUGAUCAUCCCCGCUGUUUGACUUAUCAGGAGGCCCGAACAAAAGGCUCUUUAAGGAACUAGUCCCAUCACUCUCAGGCCCGACACCAACCAAGAGGAGGCGGGGCUCUCUCCAAUCAUUCCGAAGAGCCAAGAUCUCGUAAAGUAAAAAUUAGCUAGCUCAGCAGGUUUGGACCCGGGUGAAUCAGUUCAGUGAAGGAAGGGAGCCUAAACUUAAGGCUUUUCCAAGCCUUGCCGAUAGGCGCCUCAUGGCUUGCUCAAUUCGCUCGCGGAGUUCUUAGAUCAGCAGAUCUGGAUAGAGUCUCGCUAUUAAAGGAAGAGUAGCGUGCUAGCGCGGCUCGCUUCGCUUUUUGACGCGAAUGGCUCGUGUUGCGCUAGUGACACGAGGGUAAAACGCUCGAGUUGGCUUGCUGACUCGAGGAGGGAAAGGCUCCAUUUGCUUUAGUGAAUCAAGGAAGAAACAACCAUAGUAACUAUCUAUGAAAUUGAUUGAUGGAUAUGAGAGUGGUGCAAGACACGAAGGUAAGCACAUUCUAUUUUUCUUAAUUGACAAAGCAAAGGGAGUUAUCAACCCUUUUUUCCGAAACCCUAUAACGGCUAGUUCCCAAUGCUCGGCUUCCUACCUCCUCUAACAAAAUCAAAGGUAAUAUCCUCUGUUUUCCAAGAAGAUAAGUUCUACACAAAGGAUGUGAACGGAACAGUUUUGGCAAAGGCAAAGCCCGGGAUAAAGGCGGUAUCCUAUGAAGAACAUCUUCGACAUCUCAGAAUCAUAUUCGACCACCUAAGGCAACAUGCACUCAAGUUAAACCCAUUGAAGUGCGCCUUCAUGGUUUCGUCAGGCAAAUUCCUAGGGUUUGUCAUUCGACAGUCCCAUCGACGAAGACUACUUACUAUACGCGUUUUUGAGUUGCAUUUAGUGCUCUUUUUUCUCGCUAGCUAAAUCAAUCAAUUUGACAAGAUCUUGCAUCAAUCACCUUGUCCGCUAGGGAAAUGCACUCCUGAAUAGACUCGAUUCCCCGCCCCGCAUCAGUGAAAUGUCUAAGACGCAAGGUCGGCUCAAGAAAUGGAAGUUGUGAGAUGGAAAGAAAACCACGAAAAAAGAACUGAAUUAGGGAUCAAUCCAUACGCGGCUUGCCUUCUCCCCUUCCCCAUAGUAAGCCAGCCAAUAGAAUAGUACCCUAACUUAAGAAGUUCUCUUAGCUAGCGCAUGUCCAUUAAUGUGACCACCGCAUGCUCCUGCAUGAGUUUCAUGAAUGGUUUGUUUUUGAAUCCUAUCUCUCUGGGGAAAGGUAUCUUUUUUCAAUUCGAACAACAGAUGCAGCUUCAAGAGAGCUUUAUUCGGCCUUUGUAUGACCGUAUUCCCUUCCUGUCUAUCUCCUUCGGUCAGGUAGUUCUGCUUCCGAUGCCGGAGGAGCAGGGUGGGAUAGAAGGGUAGUUUCUGAGUUUGAGAUGUCUGAGCUUGGAGGUUCCGCUUCUCUAAUGUGAUAAUAAAGCAACAAGCAACGCCGCUCCCGUGCGCUCAUCCCUUGCUUGUUUCCUUUCCUGUUGUAAAGUCUGCACCCUUAGAGGUGGCAUCCCUUUACGCAUGAGCCUUGUUAGUGCAUGUCUCAGUCCCUUGAGACAUGCUCAGUCCUAUGUUAGGAAACCAAACGGUGUAAUUAGCUUCCCCCUCUAUUCCCGGCCAUCGUAUGGACGAGGGCUCCUCUCCCUCUGCUCUGCUUCCCGGAAAGGUAUAUAUAUACUUAAAUUAGGAAUUGAAAAUGCUUGGGCUUGCCUUAUUCUCUCAUUUAAGUCCUUCAAUUCCCUUAUCUGGAAUGGACAGGGAUGUUGUUGAAGGGAAGGAACGGAGGUAGAUCGUUCCUCAGAACGUAGGAGAACAUGACCCACGAAUCAGCUCUAGUCCGGAAAGCCAGGGCUCUGAGCUCUUAUCCCUUCAUGGGUAAGAGCGAAAGCAAUAGCCACCAAUCUGGCGAAGAGGUUUCGCCGCGCUGAGCUCGGUGAACCGGAUUCUCCCGACCCCGAUGCGCCUUUGGAAGAGUAGGAGGCUCAUUCCACGGGAUCCCCUGAAAGCACAAAAGCAAAUGAUGGGGCGAACGAGGCAGGCCCGUCUUCUUCGCGGAAGCGUAAAAGGUGGGAUGAUGAUUCGGGGUCCGAAGAUGAUGAUUCGGGGGGCCCCUAGGAAUCUCCAGAUCUAGUGGAAAUCGUUUACGAAGGGGAUGCACAAGGGUACAACUAGGAGGGGACCUGCGACCGCCUUCUUGUCGCCUGCCUUUUUCUCUCCCCUCUUAGUGAACCCACUUUCUUUAGUAAAGCGGUUUUGCAUCCGUUCACUUCUUGACUUUCCAUGGGUUUCUUAGAGAGCAGGUGGUUCUCGGUUCCCCACAUUUUUCUACCCCUUCUGUUCUGAGACGUGACUUUUCGUCGUCCCUCCUUUAAAUAAGAUCCCUCACUUAUAGCUCGACGGGACCGCAUGUGGACGGGGCAUUCAAAUUCUUUUUAUAGUGGGAUCGUAACAUCCUCUUAGUUUUGUCGACAUUGGACAAACACGUGUUCCUCAACCCUAGGUAGG
RNAcentral lists this long non-coding RNA (13452 nucleotides) under Triticum aestivum (bread wheat). RNAcentral's name for it is "long non-coding RNA (TAES_LNC022449)". The record is from RNAcentral. Lineage: Eukaryota; Viridiplantae; Streptophyta; Magnoliopsida; Poales; Poaceae.